UCAGCAGGGACGAAGCCGUGAGGUGACGGUACCUGCAGAAGAAGCACCGGCCAACUACGUGCCAGCAGCCGCGGUAAUACGUAGGGUGCAAGCGUUGUCCGGAAUUAUUGGGCGUAAAGAGCUCGUAGGCGGUCUGUCGCGUCGGCUGUGAAAACCCGGAGCUCAACUCCGGGCCUGCAGUCGAUACGGGCAAACUGGAGUGUUGCAGGGGAGACUGGAAUUCCUGGUGUAGCGGUGAAAUGCGCAGAUAUCAGGAGGAACACCGGUGGCGAAGGCGGGUCUCUGGGCAACAACUGACGCUGAGGAGCGAAAGCGUGGGGAGCGAACAGGAUUAGAUACCCUGGUAGUCCACGCCGUAAACGUUGGGCGCUAGGUGUGGGGCUCAUUCCACGAGUUCCGUGCCGCAGCUAACGCAUUAAGCGCCCCGCCUGGGGAGUACGGCCGCAAGGCUAAAACUCAAAGGAAUUGACGGGGGCCCGCACAAGCGGCGGAGCAUGUUGCUUAAUUCGAUGCAACGCGAAGAACCUUACCUAGGCUUGACAUGCACGGAAAUCUCGCAGAGAUGCGGGGUCCGUAAGGGCCGUGCACAGGUGGUGCAUGGUUGUCGUCAGCUCGUGUCG
RNAcentral lists this ribosomal RNA (620 nucleotides) under uncultured Actinomycetes bacterium. Its description in RNAcentral is "bacterial SSU rRNA". It matches the Rfam family "Bacterial small subunit ribosomal RNA", at positions 434 to 1067 of the family's 1533-position model. The record is from RNAcentral. Lineage: Bacteria; Bacillati; Actinomycetota; Actinomycetes.